RNAcentral lists this ribosomal RNA (252 nucleotides) under uncultured bacterium. RNAcentral describes it as "partial 16S ribosomal RNA". It matches the Rfam family "Bacterial small subunit ribosomal RNA", at positions 524 to 776 of the family's 1533-position model. The record is from RNAcentral.
UACGGAGGAUGCGAGCGUUAUCCGGAUUUAUUGGGUUUAAAGGGUGCGUAGGCGGGCUUUUAAGUCAGCGGUAAAAAUUCGGGGCUCAACCCCGUCCGGCCGUUGAAACUGGGGGUCUUGAGUGGGCGAGAAGAAGGCGGAAUGCGUGGUGUAGCGGUGAAAUGCAUAGAUACCACGCAGAACCCCGAUUGCGAAGGCAGCCUUCCGGCGCCCUACUGACGCUGAGGCACGAAAGUGCGGGGAUCGAACAGG